This 348-nucleotide unclassified non-coding RNA is filed under the name soil metagenome. Its description in RNAcentral is "partial contains 5.8S ribosomal RNA, internal transcribed spacer 2, and large subunit ribosomal RNA". The stretch from base 1 to 121 matches the Rfam family "5.8S ribosomal RNA", at positions 35 to 154 of the family's 154-position model. The record is from RNAcentral.
GAUGAAGGAACGUAGCGAAAUGCGAUAAGUAAUGUGAAUUGCAGAAUUCAGUGAAUCAUCGAAUCUUUGAACGCACAUUGCGCCCGCCAGUAUUCUGGCGGGCAUGCCUGUCUGAGCGUCAUUUCAACCCUCAUGCCCCUAGGGCGUGGUGUUGGGGAUCGGCCAAAGCCCGCGAGGGACGGCCGGCCCCUAAAUCUAGUGGCGGACCCGUCGUGGCCUCCUCUGCGAAGUAGUGAUAUUCCGCAUCGGAGAGCGACGAGCCCCUGCCGUUAAACCCCCAACUUUCCAAGGUUGACCUCAGAUCAGGUAGGAAUACCCGCUGAACUUAAGCAUAUCAAUAGCGGAGGA